RNAcentral lists this ribosomal RNA (496 nucleotides) under uncultured bacterium. RNAcentral's name for it is "partial 16S ribosomal RNA". It matches the Rfam family "Bacterial small subunit ribosomal RNA", at positions 28 to 507 of the family's 1533-position model. The record is from RNAcentral.
GACGAACGCUGGCGGCGUGCCUAAUACAUGCAAGUUGAGCGAUGAAGAUUGGUGCUUGCACCAAUUUGAAGAGCAGCGAACGGGUGAGUAACGCGUGGGGAAUCUGCCUUUGAGCGGGGGACAACAUUUGGAAACGAAUGCUAAUACCGCAUAACAACUUUAAACAUAAGUUUUAAGUUUGAAAGAUGCAAUUGCAUCACUCAAAGAUGAUCCCGCGUUGUAUUAGCUAGUUGGUGAGGUAAAGGCUCACCAAGGCGAUGAUACAUAGCCGACCUGAGAGGGUGAUCGGCCACAUUGGGACUGAGACACGGCCCAAACUCCUACGGGAGGCAGCAGUAGGGAAUCUUCGGCAAUGGACGAAAGUCUGACCGAGCAACGCCGCGUGAGUGAAGAAGGUUUUCGGAUCGUAAAACUCUGUUGGUAGAGAAGAACGUUGGUGAGAGUGGAAAGCUCAUCAAGUGACGGUAACUACCCAGAAGGGACGGCUAACUACGUG